RNAcentral lists this ribosomal RNA (574 nucleotides) under uncultured delta proteobacterium. RNAcentral describes it as "bacterial SSU rRNA". It matches the Rfam family "Bacterial small subunit ribosomal RNA", at positions 97 to 649 of the family's 1533-position model. Lineage: Bacteria; Deltaproteobacteria. The record is from RNAcentral.
GGCGCACGGGNGANNAGCGCGUGGGUAAUCUGCCCCUCGGUCAGGAAUAACCCGCCGAAAGGCGGGCUAAUACCCGAUAACACUGACGCUCUGCGGAGUGUCUUUCAAAGAAGGCCUCUGUUUACAAGCUUUCGCCGGAGGAUGAGCCCGCGUACCAUUAGCUAGUUGGCAGGGUAAUGGCCUACCAAGGCAACGAUGGUUAGCUGGUCUGAGAGGAUGGCCAGCCACACUGGAACUGAGACACGGUCCAGACUCCUACGGGAGGCAGCAGUGAGGAAUCUUGCGCAAUGGGGGAAACCCUGACGCAGCAACGCCGCGCGAGUGAGGAAGGCUUUCGGGUCGUAAAGCUCUGCCAGAUGGGAAGAAAUGGAUGGAAGCCAAUACCUUUCAUUCUUGACGGUACCAUCAGAGGAAGCACCGGCUAACUCCGUGCCAGCAGCCGCGGUAAUACGGGGGGUGCAAGCGUUGUUCGGAAUCAUUGGGCGUAAAGCGCGCGCAGGCGGCUUGGUAAGUCAGAUGUGAAAUCCCUGGGCUUAACCCAGGAAGUGCAUUUGAUACUGCCUCGCUAGAGUAC